Molecule: non-coding RNA, 593 nt
Organism: Oncorhynchus mykiss (rainbow trout)
Lineage: Eukaryota; Metazoa; Chordata; Actinopteri; Salmoniformes; Salmonidae
Source: RefSeq, a predicted model, not a curated record
AGCAUGGUCAUUACACAGGUGCACCUUGUGCUGGGGGACAAUAAAAGGCCACACAACACAAUAUCACAGAUGUCUCAAGUUUAGGGAAUGUGCAAUUCUCAUGAUGACUGCAGGAAUGUCCACCAGAGCUGUUGCCAGAGAACUCAAUAUUUAUAUCUCUACCAUUAGCCACCUCUAACGUCCUUUUAGAGAAUUUGGCAGUACAUCCAACCGGCCUCACAACUGCAGAUCACAUGUAACCACGGCAGCCCAGGACCUCUUCACCUGCAUGAUUGUCCGAGGUGGUGGGGGGAGGGGCUGAGUAGUAUUUCUAUCUGUAAUCAAGACCUUUUGUGGGGAAAAACUAAUUCUGAUUGGCCGGGCCUGGCUCCCAAGUGGGCCUAUGCCUUCCCAAGUCCCACCCAUGGCUGAGCCCCUGCCCAGUCAUGUGAAAUCCAUACUAAAUGGAGUGGCACGGAUGUUUUUGUAAUAUAUAAUACGUUUUGCUCUGAGACCAGAUUAGUUAUUUUAGUUACUGAUCAUGAAUGUGUUUGGAUAACUGCAUUGAAGCAAACUUUAUUGAUCUGCCAAUGAAAAAUAAAGUUACAUGAAUA